This 247-nucleotide small RNA is filed under the name Arabidopsis thaliana (thale cress). RNAcentral's name for it is "ATSL086450". The record is from RNAcentral. Lineage: Eukaryota; Viridiplantae; Streptophyta; Magnoliopsida; Brassicales; Brassicaceae.
UAUCCCUAAAAACACUAUAUUCAAUCGUGAAAUCAAUAAUCAAUAAUAUCCAAAUCAUAUAUUACGAUUCUUCAUUAAUCACUAGAAAUUUAUAUUUAUAAGUUUAAGAUAUCAAGUUUAUUCAAAUAUUUAGUAUAAGAACCAAAUAAACCGAUUGUCCGCGGUAAACCACAGGUUAAAUCCUAGUUGUUUUUAAACUUAAUAACUGUUUUCUACUUGUAAUUCGUUUAGAAAGAUUAUUGAUUAU